Long non-coding RNA from Pygocentrus nattereri (red-bellied piranha), 320 nucleotides. RefSeq lists it as uncharacterized. The record is from RefSeq and is a predicted model, not a curated record. The transcript has 3 exons. NCBI's taxonomy places the organism in Eukaryota, Metazoa, Chordata, Actinopteri, Characiformes, Serrasalmidae.
UCUUCUGAAGUGUUUCCUUUUCUUUCUGUAAUUGGCCCAUCUCAUUCUUCAUGUUGUCAUUAUUGGUCUGUAACUGGUCUCUUUCUAUAGUCAGGCUGGUGUAGCUGGUCUGUAACUGGUCUCUCUCUAUAGUCAGGUUGGUGUAGCUGGUCUGUAACUGGUCUCUCUCUCUAGUCAGGCUGAUGUAACUGGUCUGUAACUGGUCUCUCUCUAUAGUCAGGCUGGUGUAGCUGGUCUGUAACUGGUCUCUCUCUAUAGUCAGGCUGGUGUAGCUGGUCUGUAACUGGUCUCUCUCUAUAGUCAGGUUGUUGAACUUGAUC